CGGGAUUGGUUUAGGAAAGGGGGGCAACCUCAUUCUGAAACCGAGAAGCUGGUCAAAACUUGGUCAUUUGAGGAAGUAAAAGUGUAACAAGGUUUCCGUAGGUGAACCUGCGGAAGGAUCAUUACUGAUUUGCUUAAUUGCACCACAUGUGUUUUUCUUUGAAACAAACUUGCUUUGGCGGUGGGCCCAGCCUGCCGCCAGAGGUCUAAACUUACAACCAAUUUUUUAUCAACUUGUCACACCAGAUUAUUACUAAUAGUCAAAACUUUCAACAACGGAUCUCUUGGUUCUCGCAUCGAUGAAGAACGCAGCGAAAUGCGAUACGUAAUAUGAAUUGCAGAUAUUCGUGAAUCAUCGAAUCUUUGAACGCACAUUGCGCCCUCUGGUAUUCCGGAGGGCAUGCCUGUUUGAGCGUCGUUUCUCCCUCAAACCGCUGGGUUUGGUGUUGAGCAAUACGACUUGGGUUUGCUUGAAAGACGGUAGUGGUAAGGCGGGAUCGCUUUGACAAUGGCUUAGGUCUAACCAAAAACAUUGCUUGCGGCGGUAACGUCCACCACGUAUAUCUUCAAACUUUGACCUCAAAUCAGGUAGGACUACCCGCUGAACUUAAGCAUAUCAAUAAGCGGAGGAAAAGAAACCAACAGGGAUUGCC
RNAcentral lists this ribosomal RNA (652 nucleotides) under Candida albicans. RNAcentral's name for it is "eukaryotic LSU rRNA". The stretch from base 264 to 417 matches the Rfam family "5.8S ribosomal RNA". Lineage: Eukaryota; Fungi; Ascomycota; Pichiomycetes; Serinales; Debaryomycetaceae. The record is from RNAcentral.